This is a ribosomal RNA of Exophiala dermatitidis, 120 nucleotides long. Lineage: Eukaryota; Fungi; Ascomycota; Eurotiomycetes; Chaetothyriales; Herpotrichiellaceae. The record is from Rfam.
GCAAUCGACCAUAGGAUCGAGAAAACAGCGCUUCCCGUUCGCUCAGCGGUACUUAAGCUCGAUGCCGGCCAGUUAGUACUAAAGUCGGUGACGAUUUGGGAAUCCUGGCUGUCGAUUGUU